Phragmites australis (common reed) is the source of this 2619-nucleotide RNA transcript. It is a transcript of the gene named ACT domain-containing protein ACR4-like, with no coding region annotated. The record is from RefSeq and is a predicted model, not a curated record. The transcript is spliced from 10 exons. NCBI's taxonomy places the organism in Eukaryota, Viridiplantae, Streptophyta, Magnoliopsida, Poales, Poaceae.
CCCCCCUCCUCUCUCUCUCUCCCUUCCAGAGAGCAGAGCAGAGGCCAUUCCUCUCUUCUCCACCACCUAGUCGGCCCUCUCUCUCUCUCUCUCAGAGGAUACUACCCUUUUCGCUGCGCACAAAUAAGAGACGAACAGAAGAGAAGGGGGCGGAGGAAGCAUUCGUCCAGGACUGCAGUGCCUGCCUGUUUCUUGCUGCUUCGUGGCUUCCCCUGCCAUGUCCAUGGAUGAAGGCUAUGGCCCUACCUGGGACAGCGACGACGAAUACGACAACUUCAUACGCAAGAUGAACCCGCCAAGGAUCGUGAUCGAUAACGAUUCUUGCGCCGAUGCGACAAUUGUCAGGGUUGACAGUGCAAAUGAAUAUGGGAUAUUACUAGAAGUGAUCCAGGUCCUGAUUGAUCUGAACCUGGUGAUAAGUAAGGCCUAUAUAACCUCAGAUGGUGGAUGGUUCAUGGAUGUCUUUAAUGUAACUGAUAAGGAAGGAAAGAAGCUGAAAGAUAAGGAAGCCAUUGCGCAAAUCGAAGACUACAUUAGAAAGUCCUUGGGUGCAGAUUCAAGAUAUAUACCUUCACGCCGGAGAUCGGUAGGCGUUGCCGCUGCAGCUGACCACAAUGUCAUCGAGUUGACAGGGACAGACCGGCCAGGCCUUCUCUCUGAAGUCAGCGCGGUGCUUGUCAGCCUUAAGUGCAACGUGGUCAGUGCUGAGAUCUGGACCCAUAACACCAGAGCUGCAGCCGUGAUGCAAGUCACCGAUGAGGACACCGGAUUGGCAGUCACAGACACCGAGAGGGUGGAGAGGAUCAAGGAGAGGCUAUCUUACCUGCUCCGAGGAAGCAAUCUUUCCCGGGGAGCCGCCAUGGCGGAGUCGUCAGGGACUGCCACAACGCAUACUGAUAGAAGGCUGCACCAGAUGAUGCUUGAUGAUGGCGACUAUGAACAGCUCCAACAGCAUGCUCCAGACCAUUCUCUGAGACCUAAUGUUACCGUAAGGAAUUGGAAUGACAAGGACUACUCGGUGGUGACCAUCCGGUGCAAGGACAGGCCCAAGCUUCUGUUUGAUACGGUUUGCACUCUGACAGACCUACACUAUGUUGUUUUCCAUGCAAACAUUGAUGCCAAGGAUAAUCAAGCUUACCAGGAAUUCUAUGUAAGGCAUAUCAACGGAUCGCCAAUGAACACUGAAACUGAGAGAUUGCGAGUCAUCCAGUGCCUUGAAGCAGCUAUUGAACGGAGGGUAUCUGAGGGUGUCAAACUUGAGCUGUGCACUAAUGACAAAGUCGGCCUACUAUCCGAGGUCACCCGCAUCUUCCGCGAGAACAGCCUGACUGUCACAAGAGCAGAGGUGAGCACGAGAGGCAGGAUGGCUGUCAACACCUUCUAUGUUCGCGGUUCUGCAGGAGAGGCAGUUGAUCAGAAGACAAUAGACUCCAUCAGGCAAGCCAUAGGCCAGAACAUUCAGGUGAAAGGCCAGCCUGAGCCACCGGAGCCACAGAGGAAAGAGUCCCCCACAUGGUUCCUCUUCGCUAACUUGUUUCGGCCGAGGUCUCUCUACAGUUUCGGGCUAUUCAUGCGUUGAUUGCAUCGUCCCGUUCUGAAAAUCGCCCUGUAAAUCCAUUAUUCAUGAAGCGAUCCAGGAAAAUCGGGGUCAGAAAGAGCAAAGCCUCCAUUCUGCUUCAUUGGUCAGGAUUGGAUAUAGCUGUCCUGCCACUGGAAUCCGCAUGACAGCAAUGGUCGCUUCAAAUUCUGUGGUGGGAGGUCAGACGCGAGUCAGUAUUCAAAAGCAUGCGGUUAUCCCCUUACCUGAAGCUUUGGUGAUCGAGACACAAUACAUCAAGUUGCGCUGAUGGGCUGACGCAGACAAAAGUGCAUCAAAACCAAAUCAGCUUCUGUGGCUGAUCUGUGAUCCUGUCAUCUAUCACAUUCACUCCGGUAUGUGAUCUCCGAUUGAGGAUGACGAUGAGGCAGUUGUGACGUCGCAUCCUGCUCUCAUUGCCUUGGAGCAGCCUACAGAUGUGUCGGUCUGUGCCUGAAAGUUCAGUGGGGAGCCAUAAGAGUAGCUGAAAUGAGAAUCUAGAAAUAGGUAGCACAAGAGUUAGCUCGGAAUGUUUGUCACAUUCUGGGUCCUCUCUAUCCUCCCUUUGCCUGUCAAUAGUGCUGCUUUUGGCUCCUGUGAUGAUUGGCUGAUAGCACAUAUUUCCGCUUUUGAAUGGUGACAUUUGAUCCACAAAGGCAUGAAUGAUAAGGGCUGCAGCACCAAUAAUUCACAUUGAGGUCAAGCAGAAGUGGAUCCUUUCAACAGCAUGACAUUGCUGAACGGCAAAAGCAGCUUUUGUUUGCUUUGCAAAGAGGCGCAAAGGAGCCAUUAGAAGCACGCCUUGCUCGCCAGGGAUCCAGUGGAAUGGUCUGAACAAUGGCAAAGUGCCACCAAGUGCCUUAUCCGGAAUCCAAGCAUUUGUGCAGAUUCAAGGUACCAACACAAUUUUAUCCUUCGGUAGAGGAGAAAACCGAGUGCAAAAGCAGGUUUGGAAAACAUUCUGGUAAUUGGCAAAUUGAUUGUAUCGAGAAGUAACAUUCUGGUAAUUGGCAAAUUGAUUGGUAUCGAAUGUAACAGCACUU